UACUGGUGAUGUAGAUAAUGCUUGAGGAGAGAAUUAAAUAUCUUCCAUGCAUGACACAAAUUCUCAUCUGGCUUUUGUUUAAAACAUAAGAUCUCACUUCUCAACCU
Capsicum annuum is the source of this 107-nucleotide non-coding RNA. NCBI's taxonomy places the organism in Eukaryota, Viridiplantae, Streptophyta, Magnoliopsida, Solanales, Solanaceae. The record is from Rfam.